AGCCGGGGAUGAUUUCUGUUUUUCUGACACCUCGUCUGAGGGCAGCGGGCGGCCGCGGCCACUGCUGACGCUUUACGGCUGAGGCUC
This is a small nucleolar RNA of Meleagris gallopavo (turkey), 87 nucleotides long. Lineage: Eukaryota; Metazoa; Chordata; Aves; Galliformes; Phasianidae. The record is from Ensembl.